RNAcentral lists this long non-coding RNA (580 nucleotides) under Polistes fuscatus (common paper wasp). RNAcentral describes it as "uncharacterized LOC122514432". Lineage: Eukaryota; Metazoa; Arthropoda; Insecta; Hymenoptera; Vespidae. The record is from RNAcentral.
UGUGAAUAUUAGUAAUAAAAGUCUCGUUUGAGGUUAAUUGAGUGAUCAUCAAUUUAGGUUGAAAAAGAAUAAACUGGAUAACAUGCUGUGCGAUUUUUCAUGCCCUAACCAUACGAUGACAAUUUUCUGAUUUUAAUCUAAGAAUAAAGAUGAAUUACAAUCGUUCUCUUUAUCCUGAUAUUGUAACAGACAAAAGUUUAGCUAAGUAUGCGGCUCUACAUUUUUUGUUCCAAUCAAAGACUGUAACACACCCAAGAAAAAGACUCCAUUUCAGCAUUAGAUCUAUGCAUAUAAAUUUCAUUUUCCAAUAGUUACCGAUAGAAAAAUUUCUUUUAACUAUUCUUCGUGGAGUUCCAAUGUGAAUUAUUAUGCGAAUAGAAUCCAACUGGUGUUACAACUAAUAAGCAAGACAUGAAUCUGGUAAAAGGUUAUUAAUCAUUUUACUGGAAGAGGGAGAGCACUUUUUUCAACAACGAUAAAAAGAAGCCGACGACACUGAAAUCAUGAAAGACUUUAGAAGACACCGUAUUCUUUUUAUUGACACUGGGAAGUAACCAUGUGCAUUAAUAUUCUAUCAAAA